CUGGCUCCUGGCGAGGGCGACUUGGCGUCCUUUCCCUCCUCGCAGUGUCAGCUGGAGCCCAGAUGAGACAAUGGAGGCUCAUGGAGAUUAAGGAGAAAGGAAUUGAAUAAGGCCCAAACCCCAGGACAUUACAGCCAUACACAGUACCUGUCAUUAUGAUGCCAUGGAAGACUUACUAAAUGCUACCUCUCCAUAUAAAAUGCAACCCUAUGGACAGGUGAUUCAUCUGUUUGUGUCCUGAAGGUAUUUCAAGCUUGAUGAAUGCCUGUUAAAAUGUGUUGGAAGGAGUGAAUGCCAUAACACGUUGGAGGCACGAGGCACCUGGAAUGUGCCUCCCACAUUAGAUGCUUAAUAAACAACAAGACCCACCUGCACCUCUAAAGUCACUCGGGUAUCUGGAAUUGCUUACUAAGGAAGAGGAAGCCACAGCUCCAUGGCAACAUCUAAUCAAGGCAUUUAUAGACUCUCAGUUGGAAAACAGUUCAGAUACAUCCCAGUCCUUCCUGAUGAAUGAUUUGCCUCUACAUCAUCUGCCAAUUCCUACUCAUUUCAGCCUCUCAGGUGUGAAUAAGAUGCUUUGGUCCUGAUACCAGUCACCAGAGUGCUAUGGACGCGUGCAGUGAUGGCCGCUCACAGAUCUCCUGUCUCCACGUUGAUGAAAGUUGGCAGGGGUCCCAGGGGGGCACUGCUA
This is a long non-coding RNA of Myotis brandtii (Brandt's bat), 691 nucleotides long. RefSeq lists it as uncharacterized. The record is from RefSeq and is a predicted model, not a curated record. The transcript is spliced from 6 exons. NCBI's taxonomy places the organism in Eukaryota, Metazoa, Chordata, Mammalia, Chiroptera, Vespertilionidae.